CAUACUGCCGUGAAUACGUUCCCGGGCCUUGUACACACCGCCCGUCACACCAUGAGAGUUGGAAAUACCCGAAGCCUGUGAGCUGACCUUUUGGGGGGCAGCAGUCGAAGGUAGAGCCAAUGAUUGGGGUGAAGUCGUAACAAGGUAUC
RNAcentral lists this ribosomal RNA (149 nucleotides) under uncultured bacterium. RNAcentral describes it as "partial 16S ribosomal RNA". It matches the Rfam family "Bacterial small subunit ribosomal RNA", at positions 1353 to 1500 of the family's 1533-position model. The record is from RNAcentral.